Molecule: ribosomal RNA, 402 nt
Filed under: Triticum aestivum (bread wheat)
Lineage: Eukaryota; Viridiplantae; Streptophyta; Magnoliopsida; Poales; Poaceae
Description: partial small subunit ribosomal RNA
Source: RNAcentral
AUGGAGUUGCCACGAAAGUUGCGCCCGCUCAUCAUCAUGGCGAUGCUACUGUUGCUCGUGAUGGCUGCGGAAGGCCAUAAACAUUGUCCAGAGGACUUGUGUGAAGGACCAAGUGGCAAGUUCAAAGGUGCAUGUUCACAGGACGACGAAUGCCAAGAAACAUGUGGGGAAGAGGGUUUUCAUACUGGCUUUUGUAAAGUUGGGCCUUUUAAUGGUGCAUGUAAAUGUUUCUUGUUUCUUCACUAUAACACGUCCGACUUGCUACUGCUUUGGCCCGUGGUAGAAGUCAUAUUUCAUAGCGACGGUCUUGAGGACCGUUGCCAAUCUUCUGUCGUAGAUUGGAAGUACGACGUUUUUACGAGACCGACAUGGAUCCGUGACGAGUUUCGACUGCCUGCCUAG